GCUCGAGCUCCCCAACUUCUUUUUUCUACCACUUUCUCCUAUCUCUACCACUAUGAGAUUGAGUAACUCCCUAAUCAGAAAACCUGAUUCUCAUUUCUUGCCUAUCCCUAAACUCUGCCUGCUUCUUCUUUUAAUCAUCAACCUGCUGCAUAUGAACAGUCAACCUCAAGAUAUCCAUAUCUAUAAUCAACAAGGCAGUAUUACUCACUAGAAUAAAA
Molecule: long non-coding RNA, 218 nt
Filed under: Capsicum annuum
Lineage: Eukaryota; Viridiplantae; Streptophyta; Magnoliopsida; Solanales; Solanaceae
Description: long non-coding RNA (CANN_LNC019190)
Source: RNAcentral